Molecule: transfer RNA, 117 nt
Filed under: Thielaviopsis punctulata
Lineage: Eukaryota; Fungi; Ascomycota; Sordariomycetes; Microascales; Ceratocystidaceae
Description: Ceratocystis radicicola tRNA
Rfam family: tRNA
About the family: Transfer RNA (tRNA) molecules are approximately 80 nucleotides in length. Their secondary structure includes four short double-helical elements and three loops (D, anti-codon, and T loops). Further hydrogen bonds mediate the characteristic L-shaped molecular structure. tRNAs have two regions of fundamental functional importance: the anti-codon, which is responsible for specific mRNA codon recognition, and the 3' end, to which the tRNAs corresponding amino acid is attached (by aminoacyl-tRNA synthetases). tRNAs cope with the degeneracy of the genetic code in two manners: having more than one tRNA (with a specific anti-codon) for a particular amino acid; and 'wobble' base-pairing, i.e. permitting non-standard base-pairing at the 3rd anti-codon position.
Source: Rfam by way of RNAcentral
GCUUCGAUGGCGCAGUGGUAGCGCAGUGGUCUCAUAAUUCAUGAGGAGUCUGAUUUCGAUCAAUCCGCAAUGUAAAAUGCCAUCCAAAGGUCGUGAGUUCGACCCUCACUCGGAGCA